AGAGAAAUAAGAGUGACGGAGAAAUAUGAAGUGACACGGAGCGUCACUGGCACAUCCUGUGUGAGUGAAACCUCCUGUUUGACCGUUGCAGGUGAGACAUGAGAGGCGUGACGAGUCCAAACAAGAGAGUCCAGCCAGGUGGAUGUGGUGGGUGAGGUGGGUGAGGUGGAUGAGGUAGGUGAGCUGGAUGAGGUGCGUGAGGUGGGUGAGCUGGGUGAGGUGUGAGGUGGGUGAGGUGGGUGAGGUGUGAGGUGGGUGAGGUGGGUGAGGUGUGUGAGG
Molecule: long non-coding RNA, 279 nt
Organism: Gasterosteus aculeatus aculeatus (three-spined stickleback)
Lineage: Eukaryota; Metazoa; Chordata; Actinopteri; Perciformes; Gasterosteidae
Source: Ensembl